UCACAAAAAUUCCAAAACGCAAACAACGAUAACAAAGGGCUAGUUUCCUAACCACCCCAUGGAGUGGAUAUUCUUGCCAUUCUUUACCUUACAGGAGGAGAAACUGAGGUCUGACAAGAGGAAUGAGUCUCUUGCUAAGGGUCCCACAACGAUGACCACUGACACGACACAGAGAGAGACGCAAUAGCCCACAACAGGCUUCCACUUAGCCUCCUUGAUUCCUGACCACUCUCCUGCCUCAUGGCCACGCUGGCCAGGCUCCCUGAAUGAAUGGCAAUGACACUCUUGUCAGAUGUCCUCACCCCCUGCACACCAGAAGCUGAGGGAUAUCCCAGCCCCAUCGUUCAGCUCCGCUGUGCUUGGUAAAGAUGACCAAAGAAUUGAGAGCACUGGGCCCAGAAGAAGCCAGAAGUCCAGGCUUUGAGGAAACCGCCUGACUUGUUAGCUCUGUCACCAUGACACGGGUUAGAAUGAACCUGAAAAAGGAGUCUCAA
Long non-coding RNA from Mesocricetus auratus (golden hamster), 494 nucleotides. RefSeq lists it as uncharacterized. The record is from RefSeq and is a predicted model, not a curated record. The transcript is spliced from 2 exons. Lineage: Eukaryota; Metazoa; Chordata; Mammalia; Rodentia; Cricetidae.